This 350-nucleotide unclassified non-coding RNA is filed under the name Hevea brasiliensis (rubber tree). Lineage: Eukaryota; Viridiplantae; Streptophyta; Magnoliopsida; Malpighiales; Euphorbiaceae. The record is from RNAcentral.
AUCAAAUCGACAUUCCGUCUCUUCUUCGUCCAACGAAUCAGAUUCUCAUAGCCCUUCUAGUGCUAGGAGAGCUGAUGGUUCUGAUCGUCGUUGGAGCCCAUUUAAUACUCUGUUGUGGCUUUCCAUUGAGCUAAUAUUCACCUUAGGACAGAUUGGUGCUGCCGUUGUCGUUUUAUCCUUGUCAAAAGAGGAAAACCCAGAAACUCCAUUAUUUGCUUGGAUUGUGGGAUAUGCAACUGGAUGUGCAGCAACCCUUCCUUUACUGUACUGGCGUUAUCUUCUCCGUUACCAAACCAUCAGUCAGAGAUCAGCUCAACUGCGUCAAGAUUCACCCCAAGUCAAUUCCACUG